GUCCUAGCCUUAAACGGUGCAUGUUUGCUGUGAGAGGAAUCGACCCCUUUCGUGGCGAAGCUAACGCGUUAAACGUGCCGCCUGGGAAGUACGGCCGCAAGGUUAAAACUCAAAGAAAUUGACGGGGCCUGCACAAGCGGUGGAGUAUGUGGCUCAAUUCGAUGCAACGCGAAGAACCUUACCUGGCCUUGACAUGCAAGUGGUAGAAGGAUGAAAGUCCGACGGCCCCGCAAGGGGAGCUUGCACAGGUGCUGCAUGGCUGUCGU
Molecule: ribosomal RNA, 266 nt
Filed under: uncultured bacterium
Lineage: Bacteria
Description: partial 16S ribosomal RNA
Rfam family: Bacterial small subunit ribosomal RNA
Source: RNAcentral